AACAAAAACAUGUCCUUUAGAUUAGAAUUUAAGGUCUAACCUGCCCAAUGAGAGAUUUAAUGGCCGCAGUAUUUUGACUGUGCAAAGGUAGCAUAAUCAUUAGUUUUUUAAUUGAAAGCUAGAAUGAAUGGUUGGACGAGAUAUAUUCUGUCUUUAAAUUAUAUAUAGAAUUUAAUUUUUAAGUUAAAAAGCUUAAAUUUAUUUAAAAGACGAGAAGACCCUAUAGAUCUUUAUAUAAUUUUUUAAUAUAGAUUUUAAGGAUGAAUAGUUUUUAUAUAAAAUUUUAUAUUUUAUUGGGGUAAUAAAAAGAUUUAUUUAAUUCUUUUUUAUUUUAACGUAGAUAAUUGAAUUUAAUGAUCCUUUAUUAAUGAUUAUAAGAUUAAGUUACCUUAGGGAUAACAGCGUAAUUUUUUUAAAGAGUUCUUAUCGAUAAAAAAGUUUGCGACCUCGAUGUUG
RNAcentral lists this ribosomal RNA (456 nucleotides) under Uvarus taitii. Its description in RNAcentral is "partial 16S ribosomal RNA". It matches the Rfam family "Bacterial large subunit ribosomal RNA", at positions 1806 to 2534 of the family's 2925-position model. Lineage: Eukaryota; Metazoa; Arthropoda; Insecta; Coleoptera; Dytiscidae. The record is from RNAcentral.